Rosa rugosa (rugosa rose) is the source of this 460-nucleotide long non-coding RNA. RefSeq lists it as uncharacterized. NCBI's taxonomy places the organism in Eukaryota, Viridiplantae, Streptophyta, Magnoliopsida, Rosales, Rosaceae. The transcript has 3 exons. The record is from RefSeq and is a predicted model, not a curated record.
UCUCUCCCAAGUCCCAAACCUUGAAACCCUGCAAAUUUUUUCUUUAAAUUGGUUUCAAUGGUUACUCAAUUCUUCAAUUCAUUCUCAUCCAUCACCCAAUCUUUCUCCUCUCUAUGUUUAUGUUAUUCUACGGUGAUCGUACGAAUUUUUCAGCUUUCCAUCGAUGUAGGUUGAGGUACAAAUCAAAAUAGGUGCAAUUGGAAGUUGCAGUUGCAAGUCAAUCUCGAUCAGAAGAGAAAGAACAAGAAGGAAAAAAGCAAAUUCCAGAUUUUCAGGUGCAAUUAGAAGUUGGAUUUGCAAGUCAGUCUCGAUCAGAAAAGAAAAAACAAGAAGGAAAAAAGCUGAUUCCAGAUUUCCAGGUUUUAUUGUUCUAUGCUAAAGUGUUUAUCAUUCAAAGUUUAGUGUCUUGGCUUGCUUGUUUGAGUUUUUUCUUGCUAGUUUCAAUAAUGUUUCCUAGGAA